This 446-nucleotide ribosomal RNA is filed under the name uncultured bacterium. Its description in RNAcentral is "SSU rRNA". It matches the Rfam family "Bacterial small subunit ribosomal RNA", at positions 26 to 518 of the family's 1533-position model. The record is from RNAcentral.
AGAGCGAACGCUGGCGGCAGGCCUAACACAUGCAAGUCGAGCGCCCGUAGCAAUACGGGAGCGGCAGACGGGAUAGUAACACGUGGGAACGCGCCCUUCGGUUCGGAAUAACUCAGGGAAACUUGAGCUAAUACCGAAUACGCCCUUACGGGGAAAGAUUUAUUGCCGAAGGAACGGCCCGCGUCCGAUUAGCUAGUUGGUGAGGUAAUGGCUCACCAAGGCUACGAUCGGUAGCUGGUCUGAGAGGAUGACCAGCAUCACUGGGACUGAGACACGGCCCAGACUCCUACGGGAGGCAGCAGUGGGGAAUAUUGGACAAUGGGCGCAAGCCUGAUCCAGCCAUGCCGCGUGGAUGAUGAGGCCUUAGGGUUGUAAAGUCCGUUUAACGGGAAGAUAAUGACGGUACCGUAGAAUAAGCCCCGGCUAACUUCGCGCCAGCACGCCGC